Molecule: ribosomal RNA, 330 nt
Filed under: uncultured bacterium
Lineage: Bacteria
Description: bacterial SSU rRNA
Rfam family: Bacterial small subunit ribosomal RNA
Source: RNAcentral
UCCGUAGGCGGUGCGGCAAGUCGGAAGUGAAAUCUCUGGGCUUAACUCAGAGGCUGCUUCCGAAACUGCCGUGCUCGAGUGCGAGAGAGGCAAGUGGAAUUGCGGGUGUAGCGGUGAAAUGCGUAGAUAUCCGCAGGAACAUCCGAGGCGAAGGCGGCUCGCUGGACCGCAACUGACGCUGAGGAACGAAAGCUAGGGGAGCAAACAGGAUUAGAUACCCUGGUAGUCCUAGCCCUAAACCAUCAGGACUUGGGGUGCAUCCCGUUCGGGGUGCGUCCCGGAGCUAACGCGUUAAGUCCUGCGCCUGGGGAGUACGGUCGCAAGGCUGAA